GCCCGGCGUCGGGUGUUCUCUUACUAGCGCACGGCUCAGCUAAUGAGCCAUUCCCCUGAGCCAGGUACACGGAAUUUGUACCUGGCUUUUUUUG
This 94-nucleotide small RNA is filed under the name Oceanimonas sp. GK1. Lineage: Bacteria; Pseudomonadati; Pseudomonadota; Gammaproteobacteria; Aeromonadales; Aeromonadaceae. The record is from RNAcentral.